Molecule: long non-coding RNA, 588 nt
Organism: Eptesicus fuscus (big brown bat)
Lineage: Eukaryota; Metazoa; Chordata; Mammalia; Chiroptera; Vespertilionidae
Exons: 3
Source: RefSeq, a predicted model, not a curated record
UCUGUCGUCUCCAAGGAUAUAAUGCAUAGACCUCGACGUCGCCCCGUGUUUAAUCUUGGAGCCUGAGGUCCUGUUCCGUCGCCAAGGAUGAAAUCCUGGAGAAAACGUGCACAACGUGCAGCUUGCGCCUACCGAUCCCAGUCCAGCAGAUGACAUAUUUCCACUGUGGCUCAGUCCCUUGUGGGAGUCAGGCCCCCCAGGCCGGGCGACCCUCAAGGCCCAAUAUGUGGUGUUAUGGCCCCGACCCCACCCCACAUCGCUCCUCAGAAAUGCUAGUACCCUCCAAGCCUCACCCCAGAGACGGCAUUGCCUUCGCACCUACACCUGUUUAGGCCCGCCAGCGCCGUCGGGGGCCUUUGGAAUACAGUGUCAUGGUCUCUGAGAGCCAAUAUAUCUGGGUUACACCGAAACAGGAAUAAUGAGGCAAUAUUGACAUUGUACAUUGAAGAUGACCUGAAAAGCUGGAAGAGGGGACUGAGGGAAUUUUCUCAGUGUGGAAGAGGAAGAGGGGAGGAAGAUGGAAGAUGACAGUAUCUCUAAGUGCCUAGAUUUGACUUCAGCACAUGAACUUGAUUUUACGAUUCUGUC